Molecule: small nuclear RNA, 120 nt
Filed under: Diaphorina citri (Asian citrus psyllid)
Lineage: Eukaryota; Metazoa; Arthropoda; Insecta; Hemiptera; Psyllidae
Description: U5 spliceosomal RNA
Rfam family: U5 spliceosomal RNA
About the family: U5 RNA is a component of both types of known spliceosome. The precise function of this molecule is unknown, though it is known that the 5' loop is required for splice site selection and p220 binding, and that both the 3' stem-loop and the Sm site are important for Sm protein binding and cap methylation.
Source: Rfam by way of RNAcentral
AUCUUUUGCCUUUUACUACAGGUACAGAUUAUAAAUCUUUCGCCUUUCACUAAAGAUUUCCGUGGAGGGAAGCAAUUGAUGAGACUCAUUUUUUGUGCUUUCGGCAUUUGUCUCUGACGC